This is a long non-coding RNA of Oreochromis niloticus (Nile tilapia), 574 nucleotides long. RefSeq lists it as uncharacterized. The record is from RefSeq and is a predicted model, not a curated record. Lineage: Eukaryota; Metazoa; Chordata; Actinopteri; Cichliformes; Cichlidae. The transcript has 3 exons.
UCUGUAUUUGUCAAUGAUUCGGCACUCCUUCGGUUUUGUUAUCCAUUUUUAGACAGUAAUGAGAUCAUCUGCACACUCCACAGAGCUCCAGAGUUACUGUUCAUAGCAAAAGUGUAAUGCUGUCCUUGGAGAUUUUCACCUAAGACUUGAACAGAGUGCCGAUUAUUAUCGACAGCUACGUCCACCCGGGGUGAAAGUAGUGUGGGAGACCAUCAGGACCCAGCUGGGUUUCCUUGGUCCAGAGGUUUGGAGAAACCUCUUCCUUUUCUUUCAUCACAGCUGUCCUGUGCCAGAUGUUCUGUUGACCCACUGAGAGAGGCGUGUUUGAGAAAGAUCAGGAAGACUGAAGCUCAUGGUAGGAAUGAAGGAGGACCUUGUGAGCUCCACCAGCAGCUCCCUCACAAGGAACUGUUCACAAGUCCACUGCAGGCACGCCCCAGAAGAUGGAUAAAGGCAGCGUUUCAUGAAGACACUGGAACCAAUCUAUCUUCAUAACAGCAGGAUAAAGACAUGGUGAUAAAUGAGUGUGUGGGCCGUCUGCUGAGGACCAGGAGCUCAGGACACUCAGACGGGG